AGGAAUCUGCCUAGUAGUGGGGGACAACCUGGUGAAAACCAGGCUAAUACCGCAUACGACCUACGGGUGAAAGCAGGGGAUCUUCGGACCUUGCGCUAUUAGAUGUGCCUAUGUCUGAUUAGUUAGUUGGUGAGGUAAUGGCUCACCAAGGCCGCGAUCAGUAGCUGGUCUGAGAGGAUGAUCAGCCACACUGGGACUGAGACACGGCCCAG
RNAcentral lists this ribosomal RNA (212 nucleotides) under uncultured bacterium. RNAcentral's name for it is "partial 16S ribosomal RNA". It matches the Rfam family "Bacterial small subunit ribosomal RNA", at positions 119 to 334 of the family's 1533-position model. The record is from RNAcentral.